Molecule: ribosomal RNA, 317 nt
Filed under: uncultured bacterium
Lineage: Bacteria
Description: bacterial SSU rRNA
Rfam family: Bacterial small subunit ribosomal RNA
Source: RNAcentral
GAUGAACGCUGGCGGCGUGCCUAAUACAUGCAAGUCGAGCGAACGGAUAAGGAGCUUGCUCCUUUGAAGUUAGCGGCGGACGGGUGAGUAACACGUGGGUAACCUACCUAUAAGACUGGAAUAACUUCGGGAAACCGGAGCUAAUGCCGGAUAACAUUUGGAACCGCAUGGUUCUAAAGUAAAAGAUGGUUUUGCUAUCACUUAUAGAUGGACCCGCGCCGUAUUAGCUAGUUGGUAAGGUAACGGCUUACCAAGGCAACGAUACGUAGCCGACCUGAGAGGGUGAUCGGCCACACUGGAACUGAGACACGGCCCAG